AACGAACGCUGGCGGCAGGCCUAACACAUGCAAGUCGAACGCCGUAGCAAUACGGAGUGGCAGACGGGUGAGUAACACGUGGGAACGUACCUUUCGGUUCGGAAUAACUCAGGGAAACUUGAGCUAAUACCGGAUACGUGCGAGAGCAGAAAGAUUUAUCGCCGAAAGAUCGGCCCGCGUCCGAUUAGCUUGUUGGUGAGGUAAUGGCUCACCAAGGCGACGAUCGGUAGCUGGUCUGAGAGGAUGAUCAGCCACACUGGGACUGAGACACGGCCCAGACUCCUACGGGAGGCAGCAGUGGGGAAUAUUGGACAAUGGGCGCAAGCCUGAUCCAGCCAUGCCGCGUGAGUGAUGAAGGCCCUAGGGUUGUAAAGCUCUUUCGCCAGGGACGAUAAUGACGGUACCUGGAUAAGAAGCCCGGCUAACUUCGUG
RNAcentral lists this ribosomal RNA (432 nucleotides) under uncultured bacterium. RNAcentral describes it as "bacterial SSU rRNA". It matches the Rfam family "Bacterial small subunit ribosomal RNA", at positions 29 to 507 of the family's 1533-position model. The record is from RNAcentral.